RNAcentral lists this ribosomal RNA (494 nucleotides) under uncultured bacterium. Its description in RNAcentral is "partial 16S ribosomal RNA". It matches the Rfam family "Bacterial small subunit ribosomal RNA", at positions 28 to 507 of the family's 1533-position model. The record is from RNAcentral.
GACGAACGCUGGCGGCGUGCUUAACACAUGCAAGUCGAACGGUGAAGCGCCUUCCUUUUUGGUGGGUGUGGAUGAGUGGCGAACGGGUGAGUAACACGUGAGUAACCUGCCCCCUUCUUCUGGAUAACCGCAUGAAAGUGUGGCUAAUGCGGGAUAUUCUGGGUCUGUCGCAUGAUGGGUCUGGGAAAGAUAUUGUUUCGGUGGGGGAUGGGCUCGCGGCCUAUCAGCUUGUUGGUGGGGUGAUGGCCUACCAAGGCGGUGACGGGUAGCCGGCCUGAGAGGGUGGACGGUCACACUGGGACUGAGACACGGCGCAGACUCCUACGGGAGGCAGCAGUGGGGAAUAUUGCACAAUGGGCGCAAGCCUGAUGCAGCGACGCCGCGUGAGGGAUGGAGGCCUUCGGGUUGUGAACCUCUUUCGCCAGUGAAGCAGGCCUGCCUCGUUUGUGGGUGGGUUGACGGUAGCUGGAUAAGAAGCGCCGGCUAACUACGUG